GACGAACGCUGGCGGCGUGCUUAACACAUGCAAGUCGAACGGAAAGGCCCUGCUUUUGUGGGGUGCUCGUGUGGCGAACGGGUGAGUAACACGUGAGUAACCUGCCCUUGACUUUGGGAUAACUUCAGGAAACUGCGGCUAAUACCGGAUAGGAGCUCCUGCUGCAUGGUGGGGGUUGGAAAGUUUCGGCGGUUGGGUCUGGACUCGCGGCUUAUCAGCUUGUUGGUGGGGUAGUGGCUUACCAAGGCUUUGACGGGUAGCCGGCCUGAGAGGGUGACCGGGCACAUGGGUACUGAGGUACGGCCCAGACUCCAACGGGAGGCAGCAGUGGGGAAUAUUGCACAAUGGGCGGAAGCCUGAUGCAGCAACGCCGCGUGCGGGAUGACGGCCUUCGGGUUGUAAACCGCUUUCGCCUGUGACGAAGCGUGAGUGACGGUAAUGGGUAAAGAAGCACCGGCUAACUACGUG
RNAcentral lists this ribosomal RNA (468 nucleotides) under uncultured bacterium. RNAcentral describes it as "partial 16S ribosomal RNA". It matches the Rfam family "Bacterial small subunit ribosomal RNA", at positions 28 to 507 of the family's 1533-position model. The record is from RNAcentral.